CAUAUUAUACAACAUGUACCUGACAAAGUCAGUCAGAACGUUACUUUAUUUUCAGUCUCUUUUUUUUAUAUGAUAAUUGUACUGGUAUGUUAUCUUA
Molecule: long non-coding RNA, 97 nt
Organism: Branchiostoma belcheri (Belcher's lancelet)
Lineage: Eukaryota; Metazoa; Chordata; Leptocardii; Amphioxiformes; Branchiostomatidae
Exons: 3
Source: RefSeq, a predicted model, not a curated record